CGGUGGUUCAGUGGUAGAAUGCUCGCCUGCCACGCGUUCGGCCCGGGUUCGAUUCCCGGCCG
Molecule: transfer RNA, 62 nt
Filed under: Cordylochernes scorpioides
Lineage: Eukaryota; Metazoa; Arthropoda; Arachnida; Pseudoscorpiones; Chernetidae
Description: tRNA-Gly
Rfam family: tRNA
About the family: Transfer RNA (tRNA) molecules are approximately 80 nucleotides in length. Their secondary structure includes four short double-helical elements and three loops (D, anti-codon, and T loops).
Source: RNAcentral